GGUGACGAGUGGCGGACGGGUGAGUAAUGUCUGGGAAACUGCCUGAUGGAGGGGGAUAACUACUGGAAACGGUAGCUAAUACCGCAUAACGUCGCAAGACCAAAGAGGGGGACCUUCGGGCCUCUUGCCAUCAGAUGUGCCCAGAUGGGAUUAGCUAGUAGGUGGGGUAACGGCUCACCUAGGCGACGAUCCCUAGCUGGUCUGAGAGGAUGACCAGCCACACUGGAACUGAGACACGGUCCAGACUCCUACGGGAGGCAGCAGUGGGGAAUAUUGCACAAUGGGCGCAAGCCUGAUGCAGCCAUGCCGCGUGUAUGAAGAAGGCCUUCGGGUUGUAAAGUACUUUCAGCGGGGAGGAAGGUGUUGUGGUUAAUAACCGCAGCAAUUGACGUUACCCGCAGAAGAAGCACCGGCUAACUCCGUGCCAGCAGCCGCGGUAAUACGGAGGGUGCAAGCGUUAAUCGGAAUUACUGGGCGUAAAGCGCACGCAGGCGGUCUGUCAAGUCGGAUGUGAAAUCCCCGGGCUCAACCUGGGAACUGCAUUCGAAACUGGCAGGCUAGAGUCUUGUAGAGGGGGGUAGAAUUCCAGGUGUAGCGGUGAAAUGCGUAGAGAUCUGGAGGAAUACCGGUGGCGAAGGCGGCCCCCUGGACAAAGACUGACG
RNAcentral lists this ribosomal RNA (662 nucleotides) under Enterobacter sp. F12(2012). RNAcentral's name for it is "bacterial SSU rRNA". It matches the Rfam family "Bacterial small subunit ribosomal RNA", at positions 87 to 745 of the family's 1533-position model. Lineage: Bacteria; Pseudomonadati; Pseudomonadota; Gammaproteobacteria; Enterobacterales; Enterobacteriaceae. The record is from RNAcentral.